Molecule: ribosomal RNA, 373 nt
Filed under: uncultured organism
Description: bacterial SSU rRNA
Rfam family: Bacterial small subunit ribosomal RNA
Source: RNAcentral
CGUAGGGACCAAGCGUUGUUCGGAUUUACUGGGCGUAAAGGGCGCGUAGGCGGCGUGGUAAGUCACUUGUGAAAUCUCUGAGCUUAACUCAGAACGGCCAAGUGAUACUGCUGUGCUAGAGUGCAGAAGGGGCAAUCGGAAUUCUUGGUGUAGCGGUGAAAUGCGUAGAUAUCAAGAGGAACACCUGAGGUGAAGACGGGUUGCUGGGCUGACACUGACGCUGAGGCGCGAAAGCCAGGGGAGCAAACGGGAUUAGAUACCCCGGUAGUCCUGGCCCUAAACGAUGAAUACUUGGUGUCUGGAAUUAUUAUUGUUCCGGGUGCCGUCGCUAACGUUUUAAGUAUUCCGCCUGGGGAGUACGCACGCAAGUGUG